This 116-nucleotide ribosomal RNA is filed under the name Candidatus Woesebacteria bacterium RIFOXYA1_FULL_38_9. Lineage: Bacteria; Candidatus Woeseibacteriota. The record is from RNAcentral. RNAcentral also lists the same sequence under 1 other name.
CUUGGUGAUUAGAGCGGCGUGGACCCACCUGAUCCAUUCCGAACUCAGAAGUGAAACACGCCAGCGCCGACGAUAGUUGUGGGGCAACUCACCGCGAAAAUAAGUCAUUGCCAGGC